CAGCACCUCUAGUGGUCAGGAUGAUUAUUGGGCCUAAAGCAUACGUAGCCGGCUCUGUAAGUUUUCGGGUAAAUCUGUACGCUUAACGUACAGGCUGCCGGGAAUACUGCAGAGCUAGGGAGUGGGAGAGGUAGACGGUACUCGGUAGGAAGGGGUAAAAUCCUUUGAUCUAUUGAUGACCACCUGUGGCGAAGGCGGUCUACCAGAACACGUCCGACGGUGAGGGAUGAAAGCUGGGGGAGCAAACCGGAUUAGAUACCCCAGUAGUCC
RNAcentral lists this ribosomal RNA (270 nucleotides) under uncultured archaeon. RNAcentral's name for it is "partial 16S ribosomal RNA". It matches the Rfam family "Archaeal small subunit ribosomal RNA", at positions 477 to 747 of the family's 1478-position model. The record is from RNAcentral.